This is a long non-coding RNA of Vidua chalybeata, 1155 nucleotides long. RefSeq lists it as uncharacterized. The transcript has 2 exons. The record is from RefSeq and is a predicted model, not a curated record. NCBI's taxonomy places the organism in Eukaryota, Metazoa, Chordata, Aves, Passeriformes, Viduidae.
CCGCGCCGCGCAGGCCGCGCCGGGUCCGCCGGGCGGGGCGGGGCGGACGCGGCGCAAAACGCGGAGGGCGGAACGUGGAGCGGCGUCCCCGGGCGGCGGGAAAACACGGAGCGGAUACCCCGCCUAAAGCAUCGGGAGUCGGAGACAGACAAAGCCCGGAGCGGAGAAUUCCCUGCCUCAGGAGCCGGAGCGGCCGUAAUGCCUCUUCGGAAAUGGCGGGGGGAAUCUUUCGGGGGUGUUUCACGAGCUGAGUGGUGUCUUUUGUGACCUCAGCCCGGCAGGAUCCCCCCAAGGCCACGCUUUUAGCUCCCAGAGCCAGCUCAGAAAGGCAGGGGGCAGGAGUCAUCACCACCCUGGGGCAUCCACACCUACCUCAAAAUCCACCACAUCGUGCCCCACGCUGCCACUUUUCCUUUCCAAAUACUCUUCUGGAGCACCUGGGUCCCCAGCCGUUCUCAUGCCCUGGAAGUGAUGUGUCCCCUAAACUCUCUACUACCCACCUAAACCCUCAGCACAGGCCCCGCUGACAAGGGAGGAAAUUCCAUCUCAUCUCAACCCUAGCCCCUGGACAAUCCAAAACCUCUGCUCCUUUUCCGAAAGCCUCAGCAUCAGCCCCACUGUUCGGUGAGGAAAUUUCGAUUCAGCUCAGUGGGGAUGUCCCAGUCCUGUCUCCAUGACACCCCAAAAUCAGGAAGGUGAACCAAUGCGGCAAGCUGUGCCAAAGGGAAAUGGGAUGCAGGAUGGCAGCUGGUAUCUGUCAGUGCUGAGCAUGGAAGAGGAGCAUGCACGAAACUGCAGAGGGAGAGGUCAGCACCAACUCCAUCCAUCCAGCCAGGGUCUGCUGAGAGCACCAAAGGAGAUUCCAAUUUCUUCUGAUGCAAGGACAACACAAGACCCAAGCCCCUGGCAAAGGAGGUGAUGCCAAGAAGGCCAGAGGUUUGGGUGCCUCACCAGCUUUUGGGGCUGGGGAAAGCGGGAGAGAGCCAGAAGAUGUUUAAAUCAACAGGAAAAGAGGCAUGAGAAUUCUUACAGCCCAAAAGAGAGAAAGAGGAGAAAUCCUUCCUUAUCCUGAUGAGAAACUGCUCUCGCACAGCACAGAGCCAAUGCUAGCAGACUCCAAGAGAACCUGUAUUAAUAAAACCAGGUCAGUUUUUA